GAUGAAGAACGUAGCGAAAUGCGAUACUUGGUGUGAAUUGCAGAAUCCCGUGAACCAUCGAGUCUUUGAACGCAAGUUGCGCCCGAAGCCAUUAGGCCGAGGGCACGCCUGCCUGGGCGUCACACGUCGUUGCCCCCCCAUCUACUCCUUCGGGAUUGCGGGGGGCGGAUGAUGGCCUCCCGUGCGCCUCGCCGCGCGGUUGGCAUAAAUGCCAAGUCCUCGGCGACGCACGCCACGACAAUCGGUGGUUGCGAAACCUCGGUUGCCCGUCGGGUGCAGUCGUCGCGCAUCGAGGGCUCGAAAAAAUUGCCGGGUUCCGGCUCGGCUUUCAACGCGACCCCAGGUCAGGCGGGGUUACCCGCUGAAUUUAAGCAUAUCAAUAAGCGGAGGA
Molecule: unclassified non-coding RNA, 391 nt
Filed under: soil metagenome
Description: partial contains 5.8S ribosomal RNA, internal transcribed spacer 2, and large subunit ribosomal RNA
Rfam family: 5.8S ribosomal RNA (bases 1-122)
Source: RNAcentral